CUCAGCUACAAAAAUGGUGUCGUGCUCAAAGUGGUUAAGGGCGAGGUGUCUACCUCAGAGUUGCUGAUUCAACUUAAUGGGGUUUUCUGCAAGAACAAAGAGUGGCCUUGGCAGAUUAGGGAUUUGGGAGAGAAGAAGUUCUUACUGAGAUUCCCUUCAUGGAAGAAUGUACAUGACCUGAUUGAGUUUCCUGCAUUUGAGCUGCCAAUUGAUGAGGUGUCUGUUAAGAUUUGCGAAUGGGUAGGUGUGCUAGAUGAAUUUGGAGGUUUAACUGAAGCCUGGGUUCAAAUUGAGGGGAUUCCCCCUAAGUGGUGUGCUUGGAAGGUUUUUGCCCAGAUCACAACAUGCUUUGGAAUUCUGGUUGAUAUGGAUUGGAAUGGCAACUUUAAGAGCUUCUAUGAGACCAUCAGAGUGAAGGUUGCUUGUAGAUACCCCAGGAAAAUUCCAUUUGAGAGAUUAGUUGAAAUGAAAACGAAGUUGUAUAUCAUGUUCUUCACUGUGGAAGGGUUUGAGUAG
This 516-nucleotide ribosomal RNA is filed under the name Triticum aestivum (bread wheat). RNAcentral's name for it is "partial small subunit ribosomal RNA". The record is from RNAcentral. Lineage: Eukaryota; Viridiplantae; Streptophyta; Magnoliopsida; Poales; Poaceae.